RNAcentral lists this ribosomal RNA (492 nucleotides) under uncultured bacterium. Its description in RNAcentral is "partial 16S ribosomal RNA". It matches the Rfam family "Bacterial small subunit ribosomal RNA", at positions 29 to 507 of the family's 1533-position model. The record is from RNAcentral.
AGUGAACGCUGGCGGUAGGCCUAACACAUGCAAGUCGAACGGCAGCACAGUAAGAGCUUGCUCUUACGGGUGGCGAGUGGCGGACGGGUGAGGAAUACAUCGGAAUCUACUUUUUCGUGGGGGAUAACGUAGGGAAACUUACGCUAAUACCGCAUACGACCUACGGGUGAAAGCAGGGGAUCUUCGGACCUUGCGCGAUUGAAUGAGCCGAUGUCGGAUUCGCUAGUUGGCGGGGCAGAGGCCCACCAAGGCGACGAUCCGUAGCUGGUCUGAGAGGAUGAACAGGCACACUGUAACUGAGACACGGUCCAGACUCCUACGGGAGGAAGCAGUGGGGAAUAUUGGGCGAUGGGCGCGAGCCUGAUCCAGCCAUACCGCGUGGGUGAAGAAGGACUUAGGGUUGUAAAGCGCUUUUGUUGGGAGGGAAGAGCAGCAGGUUAAUACCCCGCUGUUCUGACGGUACCCAAAGAAUAAGCACCGGCUAACUUCGUG